AUACGUAGGUGGCGAGCGUUAUCCGGAUUUACUGGGUGUAAAGGGCGCGUAGGCGGGGGUGCAAGUCAGAUGUGAAAUCUAUGGGCUCCACUCAUAAACUGCCUUUGAAACUGUACUUCUUGGGCACUGGAGAGGUAGACGGAAUUCCUUGUGUAGCGGUGAAAUGCGUAGAUAUAAGGAAGAACACCAGUGGCGAAGGCGGUCUACUGGACAGCAACUGACGCUGAGGCGCGAAAGCGUGGGGAGCAAACAGGAUUAGAUACCCUGGUAGUCCACGCUGUAAACGAUGAAUUCUAGGUGUGGGGGGACUGACCCCUUCCGUGCCGCAGUUAACACAAUAAGUAUUCCACCUGGGGAGUACGGCCGCAAGGUUGAAACUCAAAUGAAUUGACGGGG
Molecule: ribosomal RNA, 396 nt
Filed under: uncultured bacterium
Lineage: Bacteria
Description: partial 16S ribosomal RNA
Rfam family: Bacterial small subunit ribosomal RNA
Source: RNAcentral